RNAcentral lists this long non-coding RNA (2242 nucleotides) under Homo sapiens (human). RNAcentral's name for it is "HSALNT0338338". The record is from RNAcentral. Lineage: Eukaryota; Metazoa; Chordata; Mammalia; Primates; Hominidae.
AGGCAAGCGGAAGUGACGGUUAUUCCUCCUGCGCGGGAGCUUUGGGGACGCACUUCUGGAUGCCUAGGCCUCUUCCGUUUGCCUCUGGGACUGGCGAUACUCGAGAUGUCUUGAGGCCUUCCAGACCUUGCUCCACCUCCACCACCAGGUCUCCAGUCCUGAGCCACAUGCUGCCAUUUUUGUCUCAGAAGCACCCCUCUUCCAGGUGGAAGAUUGAAGGUCUGAAGAGUGGGAAGUCCCAGGAACAGGCAAUUCCAGGAAGAUAUGAGGAAAAUCAAGAAAGAGAAGGAAACUGAAGCUAGUGGGAAGUGCUUCAAGUUGGAGAUGAUGCUGAGAUGGCCAAAAAGUGAGAGGUGGAAAACAUUUGGAGUGAGUUAAGGAGAGAACGCGAGGCAAGGAAGUGAAGCUGAUUUUCAAACCUGAGUGAAUGAAUGAAUAAACGGACCUGGGAAUUGAUCAACAAUGGCUGCUGCAUCGCGUAAAGAGAGACGACCAGGUGUCAGCUGGCUGUCAACUGAUCUAGGAUGGUCUUGGAGGGACAACGAGGGCAACCCCAUGUCUCUUCUUUAGCAGGCCAGCCCAGACAUGCUUUCAUGGCUGAAUAGGAGCCAGCCUGGUCAUGGGAGCAAUUUUCAAGCAAGUCUCUGCUUGAAUGUCACAUUUACUAACAUCCUGUUGGCCAAGGUGCAUCCCAUGGCUGAGCCCAGUGUCCAAGUGAAAGGGCACCAGGAAGUUCCCUGCAGCGCUGUGGGUACUGGAAGAAUGGGCGCCAUCUUCAUGACAGCAGCAUGCUAAGUUACAGAAAGUGAGCGGCGUUCUAGACAAAGCAAGCUCAUCUGUGAAUGGAUCAUGGCGGAAACCUGACCACAGUAUGUUGGGAUUUAUGUGUUUGACAUUUUCUAUAAUAGAAAGGCAGAUCAAAAAUAAGGCUCCAGUGCCUCCACUCAGGAAAGCUCAAGUAGGUUUUCUUGAGAAUUUUUAGUGGAUACCCUGUUUUGCAAUGUUCUUUUCUUUUUCUAAUGAGGCUGAACCAGAUUGUAAUGCCAUGAGGCUUCUACAUGGAGAGCUGGACGUUGGUGAGGAUUGGGUGGAGAAGGCCGGGUGGAGGCUGGGCCUGGGAGAAGAGCAGCAGAUUCCCAAACGUACUGGUAUUGGUGCAUACUCUGAGAAAGACAUCUCAGAGCACUUCUGCCGUCAGUUACGAAGUUUCAAUAUAAGAAUUCUUUCUACACAUGCCUGCCUGUCUUUUCUUGUGACGCUUUGACAGAAGAAUUGUUUUCCUUAUGUGUCACAUACUAUACGGUUAGACACUAACACAUGUUUGUUUGAGCAUAUGACAAUUUCAACCUGACAAGCUUGAGGCUUUCCUUCUCCUCUCUCUCUUUCUUUCCUUCCUUCCUUUCAUGCACUUAUUUUAGAAAUAUGUAUGAAACUUCUCUUAGAGGCAGGCUCUGUGCUAGGUACUCGCGAUAAAAGGGUAAACUGAAAAACAGAUCUAAUUGAGUCUAGAACUUGUUAUUUCAAGCUGAAAUUCAUAAUGCAUGCAAAAACUCUAUGACAGCUUAGGUCCACCAGGACACUCUUUUUAUGAUAUUUAACAACAGAAAUUCAGUGCAAAGUCUUCUAAAACUAAGAAACUACAAAACUACCGCCUGUAAAUCCAAACCUUCAAUAAUUCUUUACCUUCAGAUCUUUAUAUUCCAAGUUAUAAAUCUAAAUUUUUUCUGAAAAUAAUUUUUAUAGCCAAAUCUCUGCAAAUUGUAUAUUUGGGUCAUGUUGACCAAUUUGCAUACAGUGAGGUUGGUUACACUCAAUAACCAACACAGGUGAGGUGUGUUCUGUUCAUUUUUCUGAGAGAACAUGAAAAUGAUCAACUGUAUUGCUUCAUUAUUGCAGUUUCACUGAAUUGGUUUUACAUAUUCUACUUGUCUCGUCCACAGCAUCUUAUUUGUGGCACUUCUCUCUUUUUGGUGUGGUGCCUUGGGCAUGUUGAGCUGUCAGGUAGAGAAGAGACGGUUUAUGCCAGAAGUAACACUCCCAUCUCUAGUUAGCUUUACUCUCUUAACUCACUGCCAGACUUACUCGUGUCCUGAAGGGGUCACUCUGGACUCUGAGAAAACUGAGAGAACAAGGUUUGAAACAGCCACACCCAGUGUGCUCAGGUAAGUGGGAGGAGACUUCAUUUGUCUGGGAAAUGUAGCCAGGCUCCUGCUAACUCCAAGAGGCAUCACAUUGGAAUAAA